AUGGCCGCCUCCUCCAGCGCCGCACCAGCCAACAUCUCUGGUCAGGUCACCGAGAAGCUGACACGCACCAACUACAUCCUCUGGCGGACUCAAGUCACGCCGCAGCUCCGUGGUGCUAGCUUCUACGGGUAUGUCGACGGCUCCAUGCCGGAGCCGGCCCGACUCGUCGUCACCAAGGACAAAGAAGGGAAGGAGGAGACUUCCCUGAACCCCCUUCAUCCGAUCUGGAUGCGCGAAGAGCAGAAGGUACUUGGCUACCUUCUGAAUAAUCUCUCCAAGGAGGUACUUGUGCAGGUCACCACGAUCGAUCAUGCGCAAGAUCUCUGGACAGCACUGGCGAACAUGUUCUUGUCCCAGUCCCUGUCACGCGUCAACAACAUCUGUGUCGCCCUUGCCAAUGCGCAAAAGGGGACGCAGCCCGUCGCAAGCUUCUUCGGGCACAUGCGCUCACUCUCAGAUGAGCUCGCGGCGGCUGGCAAGCCGCUCGGGGACGGUGAACUCGUCUCCUACAUCAUCGCCGCCCUCGGCAUGGAGUACCAGCCACUCGUCUCCGCGCUCGAUGCCCGCACCACGCCUGUCUCGCUCGAUGAUCUGUUUGCUAUGAUCAGCAACUUUGAUCAGCGGGUUGCCCUCUACCAAGGGGGCCACUCCGGCGGCGGCUUCAAGUCCUCCGCGAACGCGGCCAUGCGCGGCCGUGGUGGCGGCUCACGUCAUCGAGGGCGCGGCAGGGGCAGGCACAAUAGCGGCCCCAACAACAGCAGCAGCAACUCCCGUGGCCACAACGGCGGCGGCGGCCGGCCCUCCUCCAACAACAACCAGGGCCGCCGCAACAACUCCAACAACAGAUCACGCCCCGAUGUCGUCCGGUGUCAAAUCUGUGUAAACCUGGCCACUCAGCCAAGGACUGCUGGUACAGGUUUGACGAUGAUGAUGACUCCUCUCAGGACGAGAAGGUAG
Molecule: ribosomal RNA, 957 nt
Filed under: Triticum aestivum (bread wheat)
Lineage: Eukaryota; Viridiplantae; Streptophyta; Magnoliopsida; Poales; Poaceae
Description: partial small subunit ribosomal RNA
Source: RNAcentral